UUUAAAAAAAAUCCAAAGAAGUGGGAUAGACUUUUUAAAAAAUCCCAAGGAUUGGGAUAGACUUUUUAAAAAAAUCCCAAGGAUUGGGAUAGACUUUAUUCCCAACAUUGGGAUAGACUUUUUAAAAAAUCCCAACAUCGGGAUAGACUUUUUUAAAAAAAUCCCAAGAAGUGGGAUAGACUUUUUAAUCCCAAGGAUUGGGAUAGACUUUAUUCCCAUCAUUGGGAUAGACUUUUUCCCAACAUCGGGAUAGACUUUUUAAAAAAAAUCCCAAGAAGUGGGAUAGACUUUUUAAAAAAUCCUAAGGAUUGGGAUAGACUUUUUUCCUAACAUUGGGAUAGACUUUUUUAAAAAAAAUCCCAAGAAGUGGGAUAGACUUUUUAAAAAAUCCCAAGGAUUGGGAUAGACUUUUUUUUAAAAAAUCCCAAAAAGUGGGAUAGACUUUUUAAAAAAUCCCAAGGAUUGGG
This 467-nucleotide long non-coding RNA is filed under the name Zostera marina. RNAcentral's name for it is "long non-coding RNA (ZMAR_LNC003045)". The record is from RNAcentral. Lineage: Eukaryota; Viridiplantae; Streptophyta; Magnoliopsida; Alismatales; Zosteraceae.